GUGGGGAAUAUUGGACAAUGGGCGAAAGCCUGAUCCAGCCAUGCCGCGUGUGUGAAGAAGGUCUUCGGAUUGUAAAGCACUUUAAGUUGGGAGGAAGGGCAGUAAGUUAAUACCUUGCUGUUUUGACGUUACCGACAGAAUAAGCACCGGCUAACUUCGUGCCAGCAGCCGCGGUAAUACGUAGGGUGCAAGCGUUAAUCGGAAUUACUGGGCGUAAAGCGUGCGCAGGCGGUUUUGUAAGACAGGCGUGAAAUCCCCGGGCUCAACCUGGGAAUUGCGCUUGUGACUGCAAGGCUAGAGUACGGUAGAGGGUAGUGGAAUUUCCUGUGUAGCGGUGAAAUGCGUAGAUAUAGGAAGGAACACCAGUGGCGAAGGCGACUACCUGGACUGAUACUGACACUGAGGUGCGAAAGCGUGGGGAGCAAACAGGAUUAGAAACCCUGGUAGUCC
This 450-nucleotide ribosomal RNA is filed under the name uncultured bacterium. RNAcentral describes it as "partial 16S ribosomal RNA". It matches the Rfam family "Bacterial small subunit ribosomal RNA", at positions 354 to 796 of the family's 1533-position model. The record is from RNAcentral.